UGCGGAUUUGACAUUAGUCAAGUGGUAGGGGAGCGUUCUGUAAGCCGAUGAAGGUGUAUUGAGAAGUAUGCUGGAGGUAUCAGAAGUGCGAAUGCUGACGUGAGUAACGACAAAACGGGUGAAAAACCCGUUCGCCGAAAGACCAAGGGUUCCAGUCCAACGUUAAUCGGGGCUGGGUGAGUCGACCCCUAAGGCGAGGCCGAAAGGCGUAGUCGAUGGGAAAUUGGUUAAUAUUCCAAUACUUCUGUGUAAUGCGAUGAGAGGACGGAGAAGGUUAAGUCAGCCUGGCGUUGGUUGUCCAGGUGGAAGGAUGUAGGUAUGUAUCUUAGGCAAAUCCGGGGUACUCUAUACUGAGAUCCGAUAGCAAGCUGUACUUGUACAGCGAAGUGGCUGAUACCAUGCUUCCAGGAAAAGUCUCUAAGCUUCAGUUACACAGGAAUCGUACCCGAAACCGACACAGGUGGUCAGGUCGAGUAGACCAAGGCGCUUGAGAGAACUCUGCUGAAGGAACUAGGCAAAAUGGUACCGUAACUUCGGGAGAAGGUACGCUGUUGUUGGUGAUGGAACUUGCUUCCUGAGCUGAUGACAGCCGCAGAAACCAGGCCGCUGCAACUGUUUAUUAAAAACAUAGCACUCUGCAAACACGAAAGUGGACGUAUAGGGUGUGAUGCCUGCCCGGUGCUGGAAGGUUAAUUGAUGGGGUUAGCGUAAGCGAAGCUCUUGAUCGAAGCCCCAGUAAACGGCGGCCGUAACUAUAACGGUCCUAAGGUAGCGAAAUUCCUUGUCGGGUAAGUUCCGACCUGCACGAAUGGCAUAAUGAUGGCGGCGCUGUCUCCAGCAGAGGCUCAGUGAAAUCGAAAUCGCUGUGAAGAUGCAGUGUACCCGCGGCUAGACGGAAAGACCCCGUGAACCUUUACUGCAGCUUGACACUGAACUUUGACCUUACUUGUGUAGGAUAGGUGGGAGGCUUUGAAGUUGGAACGCUAGUUCCAAUGGAGCCGUCCUUGAAAUACCACCCUGGUAAUGUUGAGGUUCUAACUCUGUCCCGUUAUCCGGGACGAGGACCGUGUCUGGUGGGUAGUUUGACUGGGGCGGUCUCCUCCUAAAGAGUAACGGAGGAGUACGAAGGUGCGCUCAGCGUGGUCGGAAAUCACGCGUAGAGUAUAAAGGCAAAAGCGCGCUUAACUGCGAGACCCACAAGUCGAGCAGGUACGAAAGUAGGUCUUAGUGAUCCGGUGGUUCUGUAUGGAAGGGCCAUCGCUCAACGGAUAAAAGGUACUCUGGGGAUAACAGGCUGAUACCGCCCAAGAGUUCAUAUCGACGGCGGUGUUUGGCACCUCGAUGUCGGCUCAUCUCAUCCUGGGGCUGAAGCAGGUCCCAAGGGUAUGGCUGUUCGCCAUUUAAAGAGGUACGCGAGCUGGGUUUAGAACGUCGUGAGACAGUUCGGUCCCUAUCUACCGUGGGCGCUGGAAAUUUGAGAGGAUCUGCUCCUAGUACGAGAGGACCAGAGUGGACGAACCUCUGGUGUACCGGUUGUGACGCCAGUCGCAUCGCCGGGUAGCUAUGUUCGGAAGGGAUAACCGCUGAAAGCAUCUAAGCGGGAAGCCUACCUCAAGAUAAGAUUUCCCUAGGAAUUUAUUCCUCUAAAGAGCCGUUCGAGACUAGGACGUUGAUAGGUUGGAUGUGGAAGCAUAGUGAUAUGUGAAGCUGACCAAUACUAAUUGCUCGUGAGGCUUGACUAU
This 1742-nucleotide ribosomal RNA is filed under the name Acinetobacter baumannii 6112. RNAcentral's name for it is "bacterial LSU rRNA". It matches the Rfam family "Bacterial large subunit ribosomal RNA", at positions 1201 to 2925 of the family's 2925-position model. Lineage: Bacteria; Pseudomonadati; Pseudomonadota; Gammaproteobacteria; Moraxellales; Moraxellaceae. The record is from RNAcentral.